CACCUUCUGUAGUUCAUAGGCAUGAUGAUUGGGUUUUCGUGCACAGGUGUGAGAUGUGCGUCCCACAAAUCUUGUUGUUAGGACAUCAGCACAUUACGCGUCUUACA
Molecule: small nucleolar RNA, 107 nt
Organism: Otolemur garnettii (small-eared galago)
Lineage: Eukaryota; Metazoa; Chordata; Mammalia; Primates; Galagidae
Source: Ensembl